CUUGGUCAUUUAGAGGAAGUAAAAGUCGUAACAAGGUUUCCGUAGGUGAACCUGCGGAAGGAUCAUUAUUGAAUGAACUUGGCUUGGUUGUGCUGGUCCUCUCGAGGACAUGUGCAUGCCUUGUCAUCUUUAUCUAUCCACCUGUGCACCUUUUGUAGACUUGAAUAUAGUGAAUGGGAGAGCGUGCUCUCUUUGAAGCUAUACCAGGCCUAUGUUUUCAUAUACCCCAAAGAAUGUAAUAGAAUGUGUUGUAUGGCCUUGUGCCUAUAAAUCAUAUACAACUUUCAGCAACGGAUCUCUUGGCUCUCGCAUCGAUGAAGAACGCAGCGAAAUGCGAUAAGUAAUGUGAAUUGCAGAAUUCAGUGAAUCAUCGAAUCUUUGAACGCACCUUGCGCUCCUUGGUAUUCCGAGGAGCAUGCCUGUUUGAGUGUCAUUAAAUUCUCAACCUUAACAGCUUUUGCUGAUAAUGGCUUGGAUGUGGGGGUUUCUUUUGCUGGCUUAGGUCGGCUCCCCUCAAAUGUAUUAGCCGGUGCCCCGCGCAGAACCGUCUAUUGGUGUGAUAAUUAUCUACGCCAUUAGUGAUCUGCAUGAAUGGGAUUGUGCUGCUUCAAACCGUCCUUAUUGGACACAUAAUGACAAUUUGACCUCAAAUCAGGUAGGACUACCCGCUGAACUUAAGCAUAUCAAUAAGCGGAGGA
RNAcentral lists this ribosomal RNA (698 nucleotides) under uncultured fungus. RNAcentral's name for it is "eukaryotic LSU rRNA". The stretch from base 280 to 433 matches the Rfam family "5.8S ribosomal RNA". Lineage: Eukaryota; Fungi. The record is from RNAcentral.